Molecule: ribosomal RNA, 253 nt
Filed under: uncultured bacterium
Lineage: Bacteria
Description: partial 16S ribosomal RNA
Rfam family: Bacterial small subunit ribosomal RNA
Source: RNAcentral
UACGAAGGAUGCGAGCGUUAUCCGGAUUUAUUGGGUUUAAAGGGUGCGUAGGCGGCCUUAUAAGUCAGUGGUGAAAUCCUAUCGCUUAACGAUAGACGUGCCAUUGAUACUGUAGGGCUUGAGUACAGAUGCCGUUGGCGGAAUGUGUCAUGUAGCGGUGAAAUGCAUAGAUAUGACACAGAACACCGAUUGCGAAGGCAGCUGACGAAGCUGUAACUGACGCUGAUGCACGAAAGCGUGGGGAUCAAACAGG